RNAcentral lists this small nucleolar RNA (207 nucleotides) under Lachancea kluyveri NRRL Y-12651. RNAcentral describes it as "Small nucleolar RNA snR31". It matches the Rfam family "Small nucleolar RNA snR31". The record is from Rfam by way of RNAcentral. Lineage: Eukaryota; Fungi; Ascomycota; Saccharomycetes; Saccharomycetales; Saccharomycetaceae.
UAUACAAACAACCAUGUGUUCCACCGGCGUCACUGUAGGCUUCCUUCCAUGCCUACGGUUAGAUGCUUGAAUUUCUUUGGUGGCAUUCUGUCGACACAUGGAAGAUUGAUUUUAGGUAAGAUGUAUCUCCAGCUAUUGAACGCGGGAAAGCCUUUCUCUUUCCUGCCCCAAAAACUGAUAUAGUUGGUCAUAAUUCUUGCAACAUCA